This is a non-coding RNA of Ictidomys tridecemlineatus (thirteen-lined ground squirrel), 5798 nucleotides long. The record is from RefSeq and is a predicted model, not a curated record. NCBI's taxonomy places the organism in Eukaryota, Metazoa, Chordata, Mammalia, Rodentia, Sciuridae.
CCAAUCAUUAUGCCAAGAUGAUAGAAAUUUUCAGAGUGGCCGAAGCCAUGCUCAGUUCCCAGAGAUGUGGUACCCUUUCCAUAGUGCAGAUCUUCAGUGCUGUAGAAUGCUUCAUCAGAAUCAACAAAGAAGAGGAUCUAAAACAUCUGUGUGGAUCAUGAGAAUUCUCCUGUAACCUGCAUGAGUGCAGUCAAGAAUCCAGACUCCUCCCUCAAGGAGUCUAGUCUAAAAGGCAAAGUUGCACUGAACAUCAGGAGAGAGAUACCAACCAAUUGGAAUAUUGUACAAGUUAAGCAUGAACUGCAUGCAGAAUGUUGAGCCAUACCAGCUGAAAAUAAGGAAAUGUUACUUAUGUAACCUCUUCUGGCUUCAGUUUCCUCCUAACCUUUGUGAAAUGGAGAAGAAAAUAAUGCUCUGUUAUUUUCUAUCUGUUAUGCGGUCAAAUUCUACUCUAGACAGUUGUGACUAAUGGGCAGGUCUCUCCUCUCAGAAACUCAAGCCUUCCUUCCUGCAGUGCACUGAAUCCCAAGCAACAGGGUAACAAUUGAAAGGGCAUGUUCAAAACAUGCAAAUUGCUAAGUAAGUGCUUGCUCUUCAACACAUCCAAAUAUGUAGAUUUGGACUGUUAAUCCAGCCUGCCAUGAUAUUUUUACACAGCACAGUUUGGUAUUUAAAGAAUAUGACUCUGGAUUUAGAACUUCUGGUUUGAAUCCCAAUUGUUUACUGGCAGCAUGACCUUGCUAAAUAACAUGAAUCCUAUGUCCCCUGGUUUCCUCAUAUGUAAUAUUGGGACAAUACUUACAGGAUUGUUGUGAAGAUUAAAUGAAUUAAUACCCAAGGCAUAGAAGUAUGCCUAGAAAAAUUAAAAUCCCUCAAAAUAUUGUUAUCUUGGAGCACAACAGGAGAGGUGAUCAAAGGGAAUGAUUGGAAGCUUACUUCUUCUAGGGAAGAUUCUAUGUCCUGGGGAAAAAAUCUGAUUUUUUGCAUCUUACAAAUUUUAUUAGUCUAUUAUUGUAUGAAAAUUAGUCAUGAUAUAUCCUAAACAUAUUUUCAAUUUCUAUAAUUUCUAUUUCUGAAUAAUAAUUCUUAAGAACAAUUUUAAAACACAGUGCCUAGGAGGAAUUACUAAAAAUUCCUGGGACAUCUUUAGAUCUUUAGAUCUCCAAAAGGCUCUGGGCAUGGUGGGGUCAAAGCUUAUACCUCCAAGGAGAAAAUAAUGAUAAAUUUUUAUGCAUAUAUGUAUGUGCAUGUACAUAUGAUGUGCUAAAAAGUUGUAAGUAGAAAAUGGAAGAAUUCGAGAAAGAGGGAUAUAAGGGACUUAAAGGGUGGUAGGAUCUGCUGGGGUGAUGAUGAGGGUCAGGGCUUUAGUUUUUAAUUUCCUCUUUUUGUCCCUUCCUCCUAUACUCAAGAAGUCUCUUGUUUCUUAGCUAUGUUGUGUGGGUCUGGAACUCUAGAACGGAGUGGGUAUUCUCUGUGCAAAUCUGCCUGAAGCAGCAGUAAGCUUCAGAUAAUGGAGACCUUUGUCUGAUUGCUUCUGCAUUUCAGUGAGCCCUGGGACAUUGAUUCCACCUUUUAUCUUUUGUGUGGAAUUGGAGUCAUCUUUCUGUCUUGUUACUGCAUUCACUGGUGAACAUAUUUCUCAGUAGCUGGAAAAAAAAGAAACAUUGAUCAGGUAAGGGAACCCUCAGUUCAGUUUUUUUACUCCCUUUAUUCUAAAGUAAUUAUUAGAAUAGAGAGAUAGCAGGAAGGAGAAUUCCUCAGGAGAGAUCAGGACAUCCUUCAGGAGAAUGAGUUGUGUGGGCAAAAGAUAGGGCGGGGACAAAGGUUUUUAUUCAAGAGUUCACAGAUCAUCUGCUUAGUUGCGGUAAGAAGAUCCAGAGUAAAAUCUCAAAUAUUGUGAUUCAUGGGCCAUGAAUUGGUUUUAUAAAGAGAACUCAGAAAACCCAAGGAGAGUUUUGUCUUCAAUGCUCAGCAGCUGCCUUACCAUCAUAGAUGUCUCUGGGACAAGCCUCUCCUUAUUAGGUUUAACCUGGAGAGCAAUGCUGAGCCUCUGAAAGCCUACUCCUGGUAUAGAAUUAAACAGAGUGGAACAUACAUAUUCCUGAUGAUAUGGGAUUCUAUGUCCUUUACAGUAGAGGACUACCAUUUGAAUAACAGUUGAGGACUGUAAAUAGUAAACCGUUCUUUGAGUAUACAAAGAAUCGGUAGGAAAUAUAUCAACUUUAAAAGUGAAUAAUGGAAGAAAUAUAACCCAAAUCAAUAUAGAAUGUCACAUUAUUAAUACUGGAUGUCUGCUGCUUGCUUAGAUUGGAGAGAGUGAGAAAUGGGUUCCACCUCUCAUUUUUUUUUCCUUUCAGUGGCAGGAAGAGAAACAAAGCGAGAGCUUUCAAAGAUUUCACUAUUCAAUCCAGGGCUCUCCCAGAGAUAAUCAUAUGUUUCUCUUUAUAAGGUCUCAGUUACAGAAUUGCUGAGGGUAUCGGUUCCUAAAGUUAAUCCUCAAAAAACCCCGCUCUUUGAGGGGAGGCCUUCAGGAAGUAAACCAGAAUCGGGGACACUUCGCAUUCUCAAGGGAAUUCUUCAAUCCUGAUGGAGAUGGGCUGUGGCUCUUGCCAGUGAGGUGGUGGUGUGAGAUUUAGAAGAAGCAUAGGUUAUCGUGGAGGCAAAUUGUGGGUCUUGACUUUGUACAAGUUAAAUUCCCUAAUUUUCAGACUCAUCCUUUGAAAGAGCAUCUGGCUUGCUACCCUCUGUUGUGAUAAUCCCCUGUGUGGAAUCCUUUUCUAAUGAGACAGCCUUAUACGUAUGUUAGCCUUACUAUUGUCAUUAACUUUCUGAUAGUAAGUGCUAAUUCCUGGGAAGUUCUCAGGGACAAAUUUUGAAAUGUCUUUUCCUAGUUGAACAUUCUACAGAGACUCCUGAAAGAUCCCUUGUUACUUUCUUCAACCCAUUUGUUAUUUCCCUAAUAAGAGCUUUCCUGAAAAGCAUCAAAAUGGCCAUAGACCAACUUUCUCUUCGGAAAUGAUGAUUUAAUCUCUACAACUUCCCCUCAUAUCACACUUCCAGGCUUGCUCCUUGGAAUUCCAGGAUCUCAUAGCAGCCUAGGGGAUGGCAUGAAAAGGAGACCCACGGGGGGAGUGAAUUAUGAAAGGAAGCCUGGAGUGGAGGGAUAAUUGGAGUAUCAUGAAGUCAGGAAGGUGUAGAAAUGUACAUUGUCAGACCUCAAGGCAAAACCAUCCCCACUCUCUCCUGGAUGCCCUUUUUACUUUGUCUUUUAUAGGCACCUACACAAGCUCUCUUGAGGGUAGCUUUCCAGAGCAGUUAGAACAAGAUCCAUUUCCAAGGAUCUUGAGCAAAACUAUGGAAGCAGACAUUCUGUUGUAGGAGGAUCUGGGGAAAAUGCUGUUCUCAUUCUCAUCUUUGGGAUUCACUGAAUUGUGAUUCACUCUGGUCUCCAAUCACCUACUAGAAUGAACCAUCUUACUUUUCUUGUUUUCACUGUCCAUUCUGGGUGCCUUUCUUCCAUCAGAACUGCAUUCAACAUUGUUUGUGUGCCCUGUCACACUACCUCCUGAUUUUUCCUCCUAUACCCCUAAAGACUACUCAAUUAUUGGAUCUUAUUCCUCAACUAGUCCUCUUUUCUCUCUGGGCUUUAACUCCUCACUUGGUCCUACAUUUUCCCAGUACACUUUUCCUCUUUGGGUAUGCAUAUUGCAAAGGCAGACUUCAUGGAUGGGGCCUCAUAGCUCCUUGAAGAAAAUCCUUAAGGGAGGAUACCAGAAGAAAAAUUCAGUAUCUGGCCUGCGUAGCUCACUUCCCAAAUCCUUUUCUCUGUGUUAAGAAGGAUGGAUGGACAUAAAGUAAUUGUCCUAAAUUUUUUCUCAUACCUCAUGGUCUCAGGAUAAAGAGGAGAGUAAACAGGAUAAGAAUCUAUCGCCAAUUUAAGAGAGAAAGGGCCAUAAAACCUCAGGUGACCUGAGCUAAAGCAUGUCAAAUAGGGAAUGCAAGAUUGGAGAUCUUCUACCUAAAAAAGAUUCUUCUUAGGGGAGACUGUCAGAAGAGAACCCUGUAAAUAAGUCACCCUAGUUCCUACUAUAGGACCUGCCAAAGAGCACUUUAGAAGUGUUUGUUGCAGUGUCUUCAUCCAUUAUAAAGAGUGAAGAGACAGAAAGAUCAUUGCAUGAAACCAAGUUUGCUGCUGUGCAGAGCUCAGAUCCUCUAGAAAUCAGACUUGCCUCAUUGGACAAAGGGGACAUUGAAACUCAGAAGAACAAGCCCAGUCAUUGGCCAGAUCUUCCAGGAGAAAUCCAGUUUAGGUAUGAAAUCAAUGUAAAGAAAGCAAGUCCACCUGAGGAGAAGCUUAAGACUAAGGCAAAUUUCAACAAUACAUUUUCCUGUGAUUACCAGGUUUGCUACAUUCUUGAGGAAAUGAAAGGGCUGCAGAUGACAUCUUGACACCUUCAAGUAUACUCUUAAGCUUCUGAACAGUCUAAACAAUACUAGACAAGUAACAGAAUAAUUAAACCUAUGAAAAAUAAAGGUUCCAGGAUGAGAUAGUAUGACUGAAGCAACCCAACUUCAUUUUCUUCAGGGAGGUUUCUUCUGGGUAAAGUCUUCUUUCACUCCUGUAAACCCAGCAAAAUUCUCACAUUAACACUCUUCUGAAGAAGAUGGGUUCGGUUUCAAAUAAUAAGCAGUUUUGUUCUUCUCAAAUAUAUUUUUUCCACUAAAAGGAGAAUGGUGUCUUUGUUGUAUUUGGGGGGAAGUUUAGAGUACCCCAAGCACUGGGGCUUAGAGGGAGCAAAGGUUAGUUUGUUUCUAGAGCUGGCUUUGACUUCUUGUGGAUGAGGAUUAAGGAAAGCAAGUUUGUUCCAUUUUCUGAGGAAAUCCUAUUUAAAUUGGUCAUUAGAAUGCUUUUCUUAUAGAAACAAAAAAACCUCCAUAAAUUUAAAACUGAUUAAAGAAUAUACCCCUGGAACUACUGGAUUCUUAGUUUUUCCCCUGUUUCAUCAUAGUUUUGAAGUAUACACCACCCUAGGUUUGAAUAGCUGGAGUAGAGUUACACAGGCAUCAUAGGGCCAAAAUUUCCCACUGAGACAAGAAACUUCACAUAUCUCAACAAUUGAUAAUGGAGUUUGAACAUCUUGGGGUCUUUAGUACAGGAAAGUAAGGGCAACUCUACAUGACCACAAAUCUUCCAUCUCUUUUCAAAAGUCCCCUGACAAUUUUGAUGGUAGCUGGAAGAAUGAGCACUGCUACUGAAUGUGUAACUUUUCCUUAAAGAAAAUGUAAAAGUCACAACUGUUCCUUCCUCUAUGACAAGCUCUGGAUUAGGAGGAGACAAAGAACCCUUGGCUGUGUUUUAGUGGGUAGGGGACAACAGGCUGACAGAAGGGUUAGGGUCUUAGAAAACCUGAGUUGAACAUAUUUUUAUUAGGCUAGAAAAUAAUUUUCCAUGUAUCUUUUAAUUCUCAGUUCUCCCUCCAGCCAGUACACAACUGAAGCAUAAAAGUUGAUCCAUAUUGGGUCACCUUUUCCCAUCCAGCAAAAGAUAACAUCCCCCUGAAAGCACCUGGGAAUAAGUGUUUUCCAAAAAGCUGUGGAUAUGAGUGUUAGAAAAGUGGUUUCUGUCCAUUGGACAUAGAGCUGGAUGACCUUCAAGGUGGCAGAUGUUUGGGAGCUAUACUGAGAUAGACCAUCAAAUGGAUGUGGCAAGACCAAAAUAUGUAAGCACUAGUUAAGGAGCUACUGUGUCUAUGGGGUUCAAUGAUCUUGAAAUAAAAUUUGAACUCAGUUCUCCUUGA